GAUGAACGCUGGCGGCGUGCCUAAUACAUGCAAGUCGAGCGAACGGACGAGAAGCUUGCUUCUCUGAUGUUAGCGGCGGACGGGAGAGUAACACGUGGAUAACCUACCUAUAAGACUGGGAUAACUUCGGGAAACCGGAUCUAAUACCGGAUAAUAUUUUGAACCGCAUGGUUCAAAAGUGAAAGACGGUCUUGCGGUCACUUAUAGAUGGCCCCGCACUCCAUUAGCUAGUUGGUAAGGUAACGGCUUACCAAGGCAACGAUGCAUAGCCGACCUCAGAGGGUGAACGGACACACUGGAACUGAGACACAGUCCACACUCCUGCGGUAAGACGCAGUCGAGAAUCUUCCGCAAUGCGCGAAAGCGUGACGGAGCAAAGUCGCGUAAGUCCUGAAGGACUAAGGAUCCUAAAACUCUGUUAUUAGGGAAGAACAUAUGUGUAAGUAACCGUGCACAUCUUGACGGUACCUAAUCAGAAAGCUACGGCUAACUACGUG
RNAcentral lists this ribosomal RNA (497 nucleotides) under uncultured bacterium. RNAcentral describes it as "partial 16S ribosomal RNA". It matches the Rfam family "Bacterial small subunit ribosomal RNA", at positions 28 to 507 of the family's 1533-position model. The record is from RNAcentral.